AGAGUUUGAUCAUGGCUCAGAUUGAACGCUGGCGGCGUGCCUAACACAUGCAAGUCGUGCGUGAAAGGGCUUCGGCCUGAGUAAAGCGGCGCACGGGUGAGUAACGCGUGGAUGAUCUGCCCAUGAGUUGGGAAUAACGGCUGGAAACGGUCGCUAAUACCGAAUACGCUCCGAUUUCACAUUUCGGGGGAAAGGUGGCCUCUGCUUGCAAGCUACCGCUCAUGGAUGAGUCCGCGUCCCAUUAGCUAGUUGGCGGGGUAAUGGCCCACCAAGGCGACGAUGGGUAGCCGACCUGAGAGGGUGAUCGGCAACACUGGGACUGGAACACGGCCCAGACUCCUACGGGAGGCAGCAGUGGGGAAUAUUGCGCAAUGGGCGAAAGCCUGACGCAGCGACGCCGCGUGAGGGAUGAAGGCCUUCGGGUCGUAAACCUCUGUCAGGAGGGAAGAACCGCCAUGGUGCUAAUCAGCCAUGGUCUGACGGUACCUCCAAAGGAAGCACCGGCUAACUCCGUGCCAGCAGCCGCGGUAAUAC
RNAcentral lists this ribosomal RNA (534 nucleotides) under uncultured Desulfovibrio sp. RNAcentral describes it as "bacterial SSU rRNA". It matches the Rfam family "Bacterial small subunit ribosomal RNA", at positions 8 to 526 of the family's 1533-position model. RNAcentral also lists the same sequence under 1 other name. The record is from RNAcentral. Lineage: Bacteria; Pseudomonadati; Thermodesulfobacteriota; Desulfovibrionia; Desulfovibrionales; Desulfovibrionaceae.